Molecule: transfer RNA, 65 nt
Filed under: Lampsilis siliquoidea
Lineage: Eukaryota; Metazoa; Mollusca; Bivalvia; Unionida; Unionidae
Description: tRNA-Trp
Source: RNAcentral
AGGGGCUUAAGUUAAUCUAGAAAACUAAUAGCCUUCAAAGCUUUAAUCGGGUAAUCCAGCCCCUA